AAAAAACGGGAUAUAUUAGUUAAAACCACUUUAUUCAUUUCAGUUUCUUGAAAUGAAGUAUUUGUGGUUAUUUUCUGUGCUGCUCCUAUUCAUCUGGGUGCAACACACUACAUGUGAGACUGAAGUACCUCCUGCGGCCGCUGAUCAUGGAGCAGGGGGUUCUGAGGGAGAAGGACUUGGAUCACCUCGCAGCUGGCAAAGUAUCUUAGGUCACAUAUUCGAUCCAUUUAAAAUGGGUGGUUAAUUAACACAAAUUUAUAAAUACAUGUUUAAUUAACCCAACAAUCCUUUUGUUCUAGAAUUGUAAAUUUUAAUUUGGAAACUUUCUAUAAAAUAGAAAUCUUAACCUUUUUAAAAUGUAUUGAAAUUAAUCAGGAUGUCAGUUCUUAGAUUUUAGGACUUAAUUUUAAGCAGCAAACUUAUUCAACUCAAUUGGGAAAACAUUUGUUUAUAAACUUUAUUCUUCACUCCAAAAUUAACAUACAAUAUAGUUUAGAAUUCUCGAAUCUAUUAUAAUUUAUUACAAAUUUAUUUUACAAUAAGAAUAUACUAAAAAAUGGUUUCUUUUGAAAUAUAGUCGAGUGAUUUUAUCAAAGUAGAUUUCACUGUACAAGUGUAUCAAAAAGAAAUAUUAGAUAAAUAAAGCUCAGUCUAUUUUUGUCCAAGUAAA
This is a long non-coding RNA of Aethina tumida (small hive beetle), 670 nucleotides long. RefSeq lists it as uncharacterized. Lineage: Eukaryota; Metazoa; Arthropoda; Insecta; Coleoptera; Nitidulidae. The transcript is spliced from 3 exons. The record is from RefSeq and is a predicted model, not a curated record.